Molecule: ribosomal RNA, 250 nt
Filed under: uncultured prokaryote
Description: partial 16S ribosomal RNA
Rfam family: Bacterial small subunit ribosomal RNA
Source: RNAcentral
UACGUAGGUGGCGAGCGUUAUCCGGGUUUACUGGGUGUAAAGGGUGUGUAGGCGGGAUUGCAAGUCAGAUGUGAAAAUCACGGGCUCAACUCGUGACCUGCAUUUGAAACUGUGAUUCUUGAGAGUCGGAGAGGUAACUGGAAUUCCUGGUGUAGCGGUGAAAUGCGUAGAUAUCAGAAGGAACACCGGUGGCGAAGGCGGGUUACUGGACGAUUACUGACGCUGAGACACGAAAGCGUGGGGGGCAAAC